This 89-nucleotide transfer RNA is filed under the name Escherichia coli O49:H9. RNAcentral's name for it is "tRNA-Ser". It matches the Rfam family "tRNA". From Rfam's summary of the family: Transfer RNA (tRNA) molecules are approximately 80 nucleotides in length. Their secondary structure includes four short double-helical elements and three loops (D, anti-codon, and T loops). The record is from RNAcentral. Lineage: Bacteria; Pseudomonadati; Pseudomonadota; Gammaproteobacteria; Enterobacterales; Enterobacteriaceae.
GGAAGUGUGGCCGAGCGGUUGAAGGCACCGGUCUUGAAAACCGGCGACCCGAAAGGGGUUCCAGAGUUCGAAUCUCUGCGCUUCCGCCA